This is an RNA transcript of Sapajus apella (tufted capuchin), 959 nucleotides long. It is a transcript of the gene named SUMO-conjugating enzyme UBC9 pseudogene, with no coding region annotated. The transcript has 2 exons. Lineage: Eukaryota; Metazoa; Chordata; Mammalia; Primates; Cebidae. The record is from RefSeq and is a predicted model, not a curated record.
AUGGGAUCAGAACUUACUAGUUCCGACAACUCCAGGUCCCUGGCACAGAGCAGGUUCACCAGAACUCUUGGCUACCUGAGCGAGACUCCAUCUCAAAAAAUAAUAAUAAUAGGCUCGCGGAGCGAGCUCCGGAGGGAAGUCCCGAGACAAAGGGAAGCGCCGCCGCCGCCGCCGCCGACAGGCGGAGACAAAGGGAAGGUCCUCCGCCUAUCCGCGACGCGCUCGCCGAGGCCCUGGCCGCCCGAGGGACUCUGAACUUGUCAGCGAUCGCCCUCAGCAGACUCACUCAGGAGAGGAAAGCGUGGAGAAAAGACCACCCGUUUGGUUUUGUAGCUGUUCCAACAAAAAAUCCCGAUGGCACGAUGAACCUCAUGAACUGGGAGUGCACCAUUCUAGGAAACAAAGGGACUCUACGGGAAGGAGGCUUGUUUAAACUACAGAUGCUUUUCAAAGAUGACUAUCCAUCUUCGCCACCGAAAUGUAAAUUUGAACCACCGUUUUUUUACCCAAAUAUGUACCCUUUGGGGACAGUGCGCCUGUCCAUCUUAGAGGAGGAUAAAGACUGGAGGCCAGCCAUCACAAUCAAACAGAUCCUAUUAGGAAUACAGGAACUUCUAAAUGAACCACAUAUCCAAGGCCCAGCUCAAGCAGAGGCCUACACGAUUUACUGCCAAAAAAGAGUGGAGUAUGAGAAGGGGGUUCAAGCACAAGCCGAGAGGUUUGCACUGUCAUAAGCAGCGACCUUGUGGCAUCGCAAAAAGGAAGGAAUUGGUUUGGCAAGAACUUGUUUACAACGUUUUUGCAAAUCUAAAGUUGUUCCGUACAAUGACUAGUAACCUGGGUGGGGGGUUCGGUGGGCGCCAUCUUCCAUUGCCACUGCCGGUACGCAGUGUUGAUUCGCUCAGUUGCCCGUUUUUCAUAGAGUCUCUUCCUUCAGUCUUUUGUAUUUUGAUUGUUAU